CUUCUGACUGAAGAUGGCGGCCUGAGCAAAUAUAUUCAUUUUUCUGCCCUUUUAGAAUUUUGUUGGAAUUAAAGUACAGAACAAUAAAAAGAAACAAACCGUAACAGUGAAGAAACUGGUGGAGAGUUGUACACGGGAUGACAAACGAAUGGGAUAGAUUUCUAGAAGACAGAGAGAACAGUCAUAAAGUUGUAAAAGCUGUUUCUCACUCCAGCGCCAGCUUUCAGUUACGUGAAAGACUCAGUUGGAUCUGCAGGGCAGGAUGGAAAUGUAAACAUCCUUGAUUCUGUGUUAUUCAGGACAGUCUAA
This 309-nucleotide long non-coding RNA is filed under the name Capra hircus (goat). Its description in RNAcentral is "lncRNA (ENSCHIG00000002761.1)". The record is from RNAcentral. Lineage: Eukaryota; Metazoa; Chordata; Mammalia; Artiodactyla; Bovidae.